UACAGGGGGUGCAACCGUUGCUCGGAAUUAUUGGGCGUAAAGCGCGCGUAGGCGGCUAUCUAAGUCGGAUGUGAAAGCCCCUGGCUUAACUGGGGAAGUGCACCCGAAACUGGGUAGCUAGAGUGCAAAAGAGGGUCGCGGAAUUCCCGGUGUAGAGGUGAAAUUCGUAGAUAUCGGGAGGAACACCGGUGGCGAAGGCGGCGAACUGGGUUGACACUGACGCUGAGGCGCGAAAGCGUGGGGAGCGAACAGG
Molecule: ribosomal RNA, 253 nt
Filed under: uncultured bacterium
Lineage: Bacteria
Description: partial 16S ribosomal RNA
Rfam family: Bacterial small subunit ribosomal RNA
Source: RNAcentral